AUCAAUCAAUUAAUUAUGUUUGGUUUUUUUCUUUUUGGAUAAGUAAAAUGCAAAAACAAAAUAAGGAAGGAAGAAGUAACUAAAGUUGUUUGUAUCGUGGGAACAGCAAGUGUACAUGUACUUCAGGGGGAGCGGUAAAGCAGCAGAGAUGAAGCAGGAGGCAACAAGACGAGCAAUGAUGGCAGCUCUCUGACCACACACCUUUGAGUCUUAACCCUGAAGAUAACAUACAAACAGAUCCUUUCCUUUUUCAAUCUUUUUUUUAACUUUAUUUAACUAAGCGGGGUUUAUUGGCUUUUGUAUUUUAAUGGAUUUGAAAAUCCGAACUAAAAUGUAACCAAAACUUUUGAUUUCUUUUUUAACCGUAUUCUGAUUACUUUAUUUAAAGAACCCCAAAAUUCUGAUUUCAUAAAUACGCAAUGUUUGGAUAUAUCCUCCAAUGGGUAGGUAACCGUACAACGAUAAAGUUAUCAUAUCAUUUCGGUGCAAAAUAAUAAAUGAGAAAAUGAGAAAAGUCAAUGGGUAUAGCCGUAUAGGUAAUGAGGGACAUGGGCUUUCUCUGUCUCUGGUGUUGUGUUAAACAGUCAGGCAGUUGAGAUUAAGAGUGUGGUAAGCAGAGAAGGAGAUGACGAAUAGAUGAUAAUGUUGCACAAGUGUUGAUUAUAAAUUAUUCAAUGCAAGUUUUGAAAUGUGGGAAAUAAAAAAGAGUCAGCGAGACAAGUGUAUUUGUAUGUGACAGGAAGCGAUGGAGUCCAAGUGGUUGAGUAGACUCGCAAAAAUGCUCAAUUUAGCCCUGGGCAUUUUAAUCUAGACCCGAAGACCCGAACCGGAACCGACCCAAGAAUAUCCGACCCGGAACCGAACCGAAAAUUUACAAGUACUUUUUGGGUAUAAAUAUUUUUUACCCGAAAGAACCGGAACCGAAAAAAAACCCGACUCGAAUAGACCCAGACCCGAAAAGAACCGAUCCGAAUAGACCCGACCCGAUAAGAACCGAUUUGUACCCGACUUAAAAACAUGUAUAUCUAAAACUAUGAUGUUUUUGUGUUCUAUUUUAUAUAUAUUAUUUUAUGAUUUAGUUGAAAUAUCUUUUGUUAACAACAUUUGUUAUUAUUUUUUAACAUUUAUUAAGUAAUAUAAAGCCUUAAAAUGUAAUAUUUAGAGUUUUUAAAUGUUUUAUUUUAAUUAUUAAUAGUUUUAUUUAAGUUGUUUUGUAAAAUUUUAGAUAUAUAUGACAAAUAUUCAACUAAAGUUGAUGGAAUUGGGUAUAUCAUGUCAUUUUCAGAUCCUAAUAUCCGAACCCGACCCGGACCUGGAUCCGAAAAAUUACGGAUAUUUUAUGGAUAUUUUAAUUAUAGAUCCGAACCGACCCGGAUCCGAGAAGAACCGAACCGAAAAUUUCUAAGUACCUAUUCGGUCUAAAUAUUUAGGACCCGAAAAAACUCGGAUCCGAAAGAAAGUGGUCCGAACCCGACCCGAAGACCCGAACGCCCAUGCCUAGCUCUAUUUAAGACACUUACCCUUCCCCUUCAACUUGAAGAUAACACACAAACAUUUAUUCAUCUAAAUAUCUGUGGAGAGAGAGAGAGGAAAAAGAGAAGAAGAAUAGGAUGGCCAUCUUCUGUUUCCUUGUAGACCAGAGGAAGCAGGUCCGGGGGAGGAAGCCGGCCGCCGGUUUAUGCUCAAGAUGCGGAGGAGAGCAGUGGUGGCUGAGAUGAAAACCUCUGCUAGAUUCUGUGGGGUCCCGUUUUACCGCAAAGCUUGGAAGGCCAUCGUCUGUCUAUCUUUAAAACUGAUGUGGUUGACUACUUUUGAGUUUCGGUGGCAGAUAUUCUAUUUCAUUGGGUUUGGAUUCUUCUGCCUGGAGUCACUCGUGAGCAUCUGGGUUAUUCAGGUUCCCUCCAUCCCUCCCAAAUCAAUCAAUUAAUUAUGUUUGGUUUUUUUCUUUUUGGAUAAGUAAAAUGCAAAAACAAAAUAAGGAAGGAAGAAGUAACUAAAGUUGUUUGUAUCGUGGGAACAGCAAGUGUACAUGUACUUCAGGGGGAGCGGUAAAGCAGCAGAGAUGAAGCAGGAGGCAACAAGACGAGCAAUGAUGGCAGCUCUCUGACCACACACCUUUGAGUCUUAACCCUGAAGAUAACAUACAAACAGAUCCUUUCCUUUUUCAAUCUUUUUUUUAACUUUAUUUAACUAAGCGGGGUUUAUUGGCUUUUGUAUUUUAAUGGAUUUGAAAAUCCGAACUAAAAUGUAACCAAAACUUUUGAUUUCUUUUUUAACCGUAUUCUGAUUACUUUAUUUAAAGAACCCCAAAAUUCUGAUUUCAUAAAUACGCAAUGUUUGGAUA
RNAcentral lists this long non-coding RNA (2344 nucleotides) under Brassica napus (rape). RNAcentral's name for it is "long non-coding RNA (BNAP_LNC027047)". The record is from RNAcentral. Lineage: Eukaryota; Viridiplantae; Streptophyta; Magnoliopsida; Brassicales; Brassicaceae.